This 330-nucleotide ribosomal RNA is filed under the name uncultured eukaryote. RNAcentral's name for it is "partial 18S ribosomal RNA". It matches the Rfam family "Eukaryotic small subunit ribosomal RNA", at positions 1470 to 1796 of the family's 1831-position model. The record is from RNAcentral.
CCCUUAGAUGUCCUGGGCCGCACGCGCGCUACACUGAGUGUCUGAGAUACGAGUCUGCCUGGUCCGGCAAGGUCUAGGUAAUCGCUAAAAGACACAUCAUGCUUGGGAUAGAUUAUUGCAAAUAUUAAUCUUGAACGAGGAAUUCCUAGUAAACGCAAGUCAUCAGCUUGCAUUGAUUACGUCCCUGCCCUUUGUACACACCGCCCGUCGCUCCUACCGAUUGAAUGAUCCGAUGAAUAUCAUGGAUUGAGGAUGCAAGUAGGUUAGCCUAUCUUCAUCUUCGAGAAGUGAAGUAAAUCUUAUCAUUUAGAGGAAGGAGAAGUCGUAACA